RNAcentral lists this small nuclear RNA (317 nucleotides) under Prolemur simus (greater bamboo lemur). Its description in RNAcentral is "7SK RNA (ENSPSMG00000025485.1)". It matches the Rfam family "7SK RNA". Rfam says of the family: 7SK was discovered as an abundant small nuclear RNA in the mid-70s but a possible function has only recently been suggested. Two independent studies have found that 7SK RNA binds the CDK9/cyclin T complex (known as elongation factor P-TEFb). Lineage: Eukaryota; Metazoa; Chordata; Mammalia; Primates; Lemuridae. The record is from Rfam by way of RNAcentral.
GAAUGUGAGGGUGAUCUGGCUGUGACAUCUGUCACCCCAUUGAUCUCCAGGGUUGAUCUGGUUGGCGAGGGGGGUGUCCCCUUCUUCCCUCUCCGCUACAUGUGCGUCCCUCCCGAAGCUACGAGCUUGGCUGUAGAGGACGACCUUCUCCCAUAGAAAAGGACUGUUCUUCAGUCAAGGGUAUAUGAGUAGCUGAGCUCCCCUGCUAGAACUUCCAAACAAGUGAGGUGGUCUAUGGAGAAAUAAUGAAAGAAAUAGGGUCAUUUAGCAUCUAUCACUACCCAAAUGGCUUUUAACAAGUUCUUUAGCCUUUCUGU